GAUCCUGGCUCAGGAUGAACGCUAGCUACAGGCUUAACACAUGCAAGUCGAGGGGCAUCGGGAAGUUUGCUUGCAAUCUUGCCGGCGACCGGCGCACGGGUGAGCAACGCGUAUCCAACCUGGCCCUUAGUAGGGGAUAGCCCGGCGAAAGUCGGAUUAAUACCCUAUGUUUUCCCAUGAGAGCAUUUGAAUGGGAACAAAGGUUUACCGCUAUGGGAUGGGGAUGCGUCCGAUUAGCUUGCCGGCGGGGUAACGGCCCACCGGGGCAUCGAUCGGUAGGGGUUCUGAGAGGAAGGUCCCCCACAUUGGAACUGAGACACGGUCCAAACUCCUACGGGAGGCAGCAGUGAGGAAUAUUGGUCAAUGGGCGUUAGCCUGAACCAGCCAAGUAGCCGUGAGGGAUGACGGCCCUACGGGUUGUAAACCUCUUUUGCGGGGGAAUAAAGUUCGGCACGCGUGCCGUUUUGCAUGUACCCUGAGAAUAAGGACCGGCUAAUUCCGUGCCAGCAGCAGC
This 514-nucleotide ribosomal RNA is filed under the name uncultured bacterium. Its description in RNAcentral is "bacterial SSU rRNA". It matches the Rfam family "Bacterial small subunit ribosomal RNA", at positions 15 to 518 of the family's 1533-position model. The record is from RNAcentral.